Molecule: non-coding RNA, 1512 nt
Organism: Hippopotamus amphibius kiboko
Lineage: Eukaryota; Metazoa; Chordata; Mammalia; Artiodactyla; Hippopotamidae
Source: the annotation of a RefSeq genome assembly
UGGGAACCCAGUCUGGCUCACUGCCCAGACAUGCUGCGGGCCCCAGUGCUGCUGCUGGUUCUCCUGGCUCCUGUCACUCAGGUAUCUUCCAACAUGGAAGGGGAGAAGAUAUCAGUCACUAGGGCGACCGGGUCAUCUGUUGUAAUCACUUGUGAUCUCACACAAAAAGCCAACUAUAUCCACUGGUACAAAUACCAGGAAGGGACAGCACCCCAACGCCUUCUCUACUAUGACGUCUACUACUCAAAGGUUGUGUUGGAAUCAGGAAUCAAUCCAGGAAAAUACCAUGCUUAUGAAGGUGCAGGAAAGAGCUACACAUUUGUAGUAUCAAAUCUGCAAGAAAGUGAUUCUGGCAUGUACUACUGCGCUGUCUGGGAGAAGCACGUUGGUUCAGACUUCCUCCCAAAUGCGAAGAAGAUAUUUGGGAAAGCAACUGAGCUCAUAGUAGCUCCCCCUGAUAGAGACCUUGAUGUAGACAUGUCUCCCAAGCCCACUAUUUUUCUUCCUUCAAUGACUGAAAUCAACCACGAUCAUGCUGGAACAUACCUUUGUCUUCUGGAGAAUUUUUUCCCUCAUGUUAUCAAGGUUUACUGGAGAGAAAAGAAUGACAAAGGAAUUCUACCAUCCCAGCAGGGAAACACCAUGAAGACCUCUGACACAUACAUGAAGCUCAGCUGGCUGACCGUGACCAAAAACUCCAUGGAUAAAGAACACGUAUGCGUCAUCAAACACGAGAAAAAUAAAAAAGGAAUUAAUCAAGAGGUUCUUUUUCCUUCAGUGAAUGAAGUUGUCACUUCAGUUGUCACUACUACGGAGCCUCCAAAUGAUUGUUUGGAUGAUGAAAGCAAAGGCACUGCUACUGAUUCUAGAAAAGCUUGUCCAGGACAUGAAAAUGAAGUCACUGUUACUAAUGCUACAAAAGAGUGUCUGAAAGAUGAAAACAACACCCUGCAGCUGCAGGUCACAAGCAGCUCUGCCUUUUACACCUACCUCCUGCUCCUCCUCAAGAGCGCUGUCUACUUCGUCAUCAUCGCCUUCUGUGUGUUUAGGAGAACAGCCCUCUCCAGUGAUGGGAAGAGCUUCUGACAGAGGGGGCCAUGGAGGGGUCACCGUUCCUGCAUCAUCUAUUGUCUCUGAACGUGUCUGCUGAGGAUCCAGCCAUGCGUGCUUCCUUUCUGGGUUUGCGUUAUUUCGAAUAAUAUGUACAUUUUUCGAUUGUUGUGUAAGGGUUAAACUGCUGGGCAAGCAGACAGCUUUACUCUGCAACAGGGAAUUCUGCCAUUACUCAGGGGCAGAGCCCAGGGCUGGUCCAGGGGAGCCUCUCUCACCUCUGUCCCCACAGCCUCAUCAGCUCCUCCUGCCCCCGAGCCCUCCUGCCCCUGAGCUCACACAGUGGGCAGCUCUCGUCUCCUCCCUCAGCGCCUCCACCCAGACCACGGCCCCGACCCUCCCUGCCACACACCCUGGAGCCGCCAGCUUUGCUACUUGAAUUCUGUACUUUGUUUUCCAUAA